CAAAAGUGCCCUCUAGGAGCCCAGAGAACUCUCUGGACCCCAAGAUGUCCCUGACAGGGGCAAGGGAACUCCUACCCCAUGCCCAGGAGGAGGCUGAGGCUGAGGCUGAGUUGCCUCCUUCCAGUGAGGUCUUGGCCUCAGUUUUUCCAGCCCAGGACAAGCCAGGUGAGCUGCAGGCCACACUGGACCACACGGGGCACACCUCCUCCAAGUCCCUGCCCAAUUUCCCCAAUACCUCUGCCACCGCUAAUGCCACGGGUGGGCGUGCCCUGGCUCUGCAGUCGUCCUUGCCAGGUGCAGAGGGCCCUGACAAGCCUAGCGUCGUGUCAGGGCUGAACUCGGGCCCUGGUCAUGUGUGGGGCCCUCUCCUGGGACUACUGCUCCUGCCUCCUCUGGUGUUGGCUGGAAUCUUCUGAAGGGGAUACCACUCAAAGGGUGAAGAGGUCAGCUGUCCUCCUGUCAUCUUCCCCACCCUGUCCCCAGCCCCUAAACAAGAUACUUCUUGGUUAAGGCCCUCCGGAAGGGAAAGGCUACGGGGCAUGUGCCUCAUCACACCAUCCAUCCUGGAGGCACAAGGCCUGGCUGGCUGCGAGCUCAGGAGGCCGCCUGAGGACUGCACACCGGGCCCACACCUCUCCUGCCCCUCCCUCCUGAGUCCUGGGGGUGGGAGGAUUUGAGGGAGCUCACUGCCUACCUGGCCUGGGGCUGUCUGCCCACACAGCAUGUGCGCUCUCCCUGAGUGCCUGUGUAGCUGGGGAUGGGGAUUCCUAGGGGCAGAUGAAGGACAAGCCCCACUGGAGUGGGGUUCUUUGAGUGGGGGAGGCAGGGACGAGGGAAGGAAAGUAACUCCUGACUCUCCAAUAAAAACCUGUCCAACC
Molecule: long non-coding RNA, 878 nt
Filed under: Homo sapiens (human)
Lineage: Eukaryota; Metazoa; Chordata; Mammalia; Primates; Hominidae
Description: long non-coding RNA NONHSAT207205.1
Source: RNAcentral